This 497-nucleotide ribosomal RNA is filed under the name uncultured bacterium. RNAcentral's name for it is "partial 16S ribosomal RNA". It matches the Rfam family "Bacterial small subunit ribosomal RNA", at positions 28 to 507 of the family's 1533-position model. The record is from RNAcentral.
GAUGAACGCUGGCGGCGUGCCUAAUACAUGCAAGUCGAGCGAACGGACGAGAAGCUUGCUUCUCUGAUGUUAGCGGCGGGCGGGUGAGUAACACGUGGAUAGCCUACCUAUAAGACUGGGAUAACUUCGGGACACCGGAGCUAAUACCGGAUGAUAUUUUGAACCGCAGGGUUCAAAAGUGAAAGACGGUCUUGCUGUCACUUAUAGAUGGAUCCGCGCUGCAUUAGCUAGUUGGUAAGGUAACGGCUUACCAAGGCAACGAUGCAUAGCCGACCUGAGAGGGUGAUCGGCCACACUGGAACUGAGACACGGUCCAGACUCCUACGGGAGGCAGCAGUAGGGAAUCUUACGCAAUGGGCGAAAGCCUGACGGAGCAACGCCGCGUGAGUGAUGAAGGUCUUCGGAUCGUAAAGCUCUGUUAUUAGGGAAGAACAUAUGUGUAAGUAACUGUGCACAUCUUGACGGUACCUAAUCAGAAAGCCCCGGCUAACUACGUG